This 519-nucleotide ribosomal RNA is filed under the name uncultured eukaryote. RNAcentral describes it as "SSU rRNA". It matches the Rfam family "Eukaryotic small subunit ribosomal RNA", at positions 1161 to 1704 of the family's 1831-position model. The record is from RNAcentral.
AGGGCACCACCAGGAGUGGAGCCUGCGGCUUAAUUUGACUCAACACGGGGAAACUCACCCGGCCCGGACACCGUAAGGAUUGACAGAUUGAUAGCUCUUUCAUGAUUCGGUGGUUGGUGGUGCAUGGCCGUUCUUAGUUCGUGGAUCGAUUUGUCUGGUUUAUUCCGAUAACGAGCGAGACUCUAGCCUACUAAAUAGUAACGAGAUUAUCAUUGUCUCAGUUGCUUCUUAGAGGGAUUUUCGGUGUUUAGCCGCACGAGAUUGAGCAAUAACAGGUCUGUGAUGCCCUUAGAUGUCCGGGGCUGCACGCGCGCUACACUGGCGAAAUCAGCGUGCUGUAUCCAUUCUCGAAAGGGAUUGGUAAACCCAUGAAAAUUUGCCGUGCUUGGGAUCGGAAAUUGCAAUUAUUUUCCGUGAACGAGGAAUUCCAAGUAAGUGCGAGUCAUCAACUCGCUCUGAUUACGUCCCUGCCCUUUGUACACACCGCCCGUCGCUGCCCGGGACUGAGCCAUUUCGAGA